RNAcentral lists this transfer RNA (85 nucleotides) under Cercophora newfieldiana. It matches the Rfam family "tRNA". Rfam says of the family: Transfer RNA (tRNA) molecules are approximately 80 nucleotides in length. Their secondary structure includes four short double-helical elements and three loops (D, anti-codon, and T loops). The record is from Rfam by way of RNAcentral. Lineage: Eukaryota; Fungi; Ascomycota; Sordariomycetes; Sordariales; Lasiosphaeriaceae.
GGUCCGCUGGCUCAAUGGCAGAGCGUCUGACUACGACUUGAAAGAAGUUAUCAGGAGGUUCCAGGUUCGACCCCUGGGUGGAUCG